RNAcentral lists this ribosomal RNA (481 nucleotides) under Streptococcus mutans. RNAcentral describes it as "bacterial SSU rRNA". It matches the Rfam family "Bacterial small subunit ribosomal RNA", at positions 28 to 486 of the family's 1533-position model. Lineage: Bacteria; Bacillati; Bacillota; Bacilli; Lactobacillales; Streptococcaceae. The record is from RNAcentral.
GACGAACGCGGCGGCGUGCCUAAUACAUGCAAGUGGGACGCAAGGGAACACACUGCGCUUGCACACCGUGUUUUCUUGAGUCGCGAACGGGUGAGUAACGCGUAGGUAACCUGCCUAUUAGCGGGGGAUAACUAUUGGAAACGAUAGCUAAUACCGCAUAAUAUUAAUUAUUGCAUGAUAAUUGAUUGAAAGAUGCAAGCGCAUCACUAGUAGAUGGACCUGCGUUGUAUUAGCUAGUUGGUAAGGUAAGAGCUUACCAAGGCGACGAUACAUAGCCGACCUGAGAGGGUGAUCGGCCACACUGGGACUGAGACACGGCCCAGACUCCUACGGGAGGCAGCAGUAGGGAAUCUUCGGCAAUGGACGAAAGUCUGACCGAGCAACGCCGCGUGAGUGAAGAAGGUUUUCGGAUCGUAAAGCUCUGUUGUAAGUCAAGAACGUGUGUGAGAGUGGAAAGUUCACACAGUGACGGAGCUACCAG